RNAcentral lists this ribosomal RNA (1363 nucleotides) under uncultured bacterium. RNAcentral describes it as "bacterial SSU rRNA". It matches the Rfam family "Bacterial small subunit ribosomal RNA", at positions 28 to 1381 of the family's 1533-position model. The record is from RNAcentral.
GAUGAAUGCUGGCGGCGUGCCUAACACAUGCAAGUCGAGCGGCAGCGAGUUUUACACUGAAUUCUGGAAGCUUCUGAGUAGUAUAGAAGAUUUAUUCAAGAAUUUUGUGUAAAAUGUCGGCGAGCGGCGGACGGCUGAGUAACGCGUAGGAAUUUGCCCCAAAGUGAGGAAUAACUGCCCGAAAGGGUAGCUAAUGCCGCAUAUGGUCUUCGGAUUAAAGCCUUCGGGCGCUUUGGGAGAAGCCUGCGUUGGAUUAGGUAGUUGGUAGGGUAAUGGCCUACCAAGCCGACGAUCCAUAGCUGGUCUGAGAGGAUGAUCAGCCAGACUGGAACUGAGACACGGUCCAGACUCCUACGGGAGGCAGCAGUGAGGAAUCUUCCACAAUGGGCGAAAGCCUGAUGGAGCAACGCCGCGUGAAGGAUGAAGGCCUUCGGGUUGUAAACUUCUUUUAUGAGUGAAGAAUACGACGGUAACUCAUGAAUAAGCACCGGCUAACUACGUGCCAGCAGCCGCGGUCAUACGUAGGGUGCAAGCAUUAUCCGGAGUGACUGGGCGUAAAGAGUUCGUAGGCGGUUUAAUAAGUGAAUAGUGAAACCUGGUGGCUCAACCAUACAGACUAUUAUUCAAACUGUUAAACUCGAGAAUGGUAGAGGUAACUGGAAUUUCUAGUGUAGGAGUGAAAUCCGUAGAUAUUAGAAGGAACACCGAUGGCGUAGGCAGGUUACUGGGCCAUUUCUGGCGCUAAGGCACGAAAGCGUGGGGAGCGAACCGGAUUAGAUACCCGGGUAGUCCACGCCGUAAACGAUGGAUACUAGCUGUUGGAGGUAUCGACCCCUUCAGUAGCGAAGCUAACGCGUUAAGUAUCCCGCCUGUGGAGUACGGCCGCAAGGCUAAAACAUAAAGGAAUUGACGGGGACCCGCACAAGCGGUGGAUUAUGUUCUUUAAUUCGAUGAUAACCGAAGAACCUUACCAGGGCUUGACAUCCAGGGAAGGUCUGCGAAAGUAGACUGUGCCUUUUGGAACCCUGUGACAGGUGAUGCAUGGCCGUCGUCAGCUCGUGUCGUGAGAUGUUAGGUUAAGUCCUUCAACGAGCGCAACCCUUGUGAAUAGUUGUAUUUUUCUAUUCAGACUGCCCCGGUAACGGGGAGGAAGGAGGGGAUGAUGUCAGGUCAGUAUUUCCCUUACGUCCUGGGCUAGAAACGUAAUACAAUGGCUAGUACAAUGCGCAGCGAAGCCGCGAGGUGAAGCAAAUCGCAUCAAAGCUAGUCCCAGUUCGGAUUGUAGGCUGAAACUCGCCUGCAUGAAGUCGGAAUCGCUAGUAAUCGCAAAUCAGCAAGUUGCGGUGAAUACGUUCCCGGGUCU